Molecule: ribosomal RNA, 497 nt
Filed under: uncultured bacterium
Lineage: Bacteria
Description: partial 16S ribosomal RNA
Rfam family: Bacterial small subunit ribosomal RNA
Source: RNAcentral
GUUGAACGCUGGCGGCAGGCUUAACACAUGCAAGUCGAGCGGACGGACGAGACUCUCUCUCUGCUGUAGCUACCGACGGACGGGUGAUUAACACGUGGCUGACCAACCUAUGAGAAUAACAUAACGUCAGGGAAGCGGAUCUCACAUACGUCAAUCUUUUGAACGGCAGGGUCCAACAGUGCAUGCGCGUCUUGCUGUGCCUAAUACAUGGAACCGGGCUGCAUUAGCUAGUUGGUAAGGAAACGGCUUACCAAGGCAACGAUGCAUGGCCGACCUGAGAGGGUGAUCGGCCACACUGGAACUGAGACACGGUCCAGACUCCUACGGGAGGAAGCAGUAGGGAAUCUUCCGCAAUGGGCGAAAGCCUGACGGAGCAACGCCGCGUGAGGGAUGAAGGUCUUCGGAUCGUAAAACUCUGUUAUGAGGGGAGAACAAAUGUGUAAAAUACUCUGGGCAUGUUGACGUUACCUGAAGAGUAAGCACCGGCUAACUCCGUG